UCUCCGUAGGUGAACCUGCGGAGGGAUCAUUACAGAGUUCAUGCCCUACCGGGUAGAUCUCCCACCCUAUGUUAUUAUUACUUUGUUGCUAUGGCGGGCCGUUAGGCUCCGGCCCGACUACCGGCCCCGGCUGGUAAGCGCCCGCCAGAGGACCCAAAACCCUGAAUAUUAGUGUCGUCUGAGUACUAUAUAAUAGUUAAAACUUUCAACAACGGAUCUCUUGGUUCUG
This 229-nucleotide unclassified non-coding RNA is filed under the name plant metagenome. RNAcentral describes it as "partial contains small subunit ribosomal RNA, internal transcribed spacer 1, and 5.8S ribosomal RNA". The record is from RNAcentral.